Piliocolobus tephrosceles (Ugandan red Colobus) is the source of this 1284-nucleotide long non-coding RNA. RefSeq lists it as uncharacterized. NCBI's taxonomy places the organism in Eukaryota, Metazoa, Chordata, Mammalia, Primates, Cercopithecidae. The record is from RefSeq and is a predicted model, not a curated record. The transcript has 4 exons.
GGGGUGGGGUUCAUCCCACCCAGACCACAGGGACCGAAAAUAAGAAAGGAUGUUUUUCAGAGGGAAGUGUUGGUGCUGGGCAGGAAGAACCGCAGAUGCCAGAUACGGGAUAUACUUUAUUCAGCUGGGUGCUGAAAAACAAUCUUGGAAAUUAGGAAACUGAAUGAGGCCUCAUUUCACACUCAGAAUGUGGGUUGCAAUAGUCACUUCCUCUGCUGCUUGGAAAGAAAGAAUUAUACUACCUUUUGAAUUUUGGAUUAAAAAGAGAGGUGUUGGCUUGUCAAACUACCGUGUAUUCCUCAAGACAUAUUUUUGUGGCUUCAUAAAAAUUCAAUAUAUAUUUCUAAAUUUAAACAUAUUUUGUUGCAACCUGGCCCUUGGACAAAAUGAGGCAUUGGCAGCUGAUGUUUAUGGCUUUCCAUAGAAACUUCCAGAUAAAAUUUACACAGCAUUUUACUGCAGCUAUUUCACAUAAAGCAGAGGAUUUUGCCACAAAACUGAAAGAAAAAAGAAACUGCAUUCUUACAUUUUUUAUAAAUCAAAAGGUAUAAAAAUAUCUACCUAAAAGAUAAAGGAGAUGAGAAACCCAUCCGUAAUGGAAAGAAAGCCUAUUUCAGCUUUGCCUUUUCUUUAAGUUCUUUGUUCCAUAUCUGGAAUGCAAUCGGAAUUUUAAUCUUUCCUUGGGUUCCUCCUGGAUUUGGGGAGAAAUUUCAAAUCUGCCUGUUUUGGGCUGGAUGUCUCCCAACGCCAGUGGAAGGAUCACACGGCACAGAGUGCUGUGCUUGCAGAAGCCCCACUUCUCAACCUCCAUCGCUUUAUGAAUUAGUUCACCGGAAAGAAAAGGAAGAAUCAACACUUUCAGAGAUGGAGACUGUUGAGCCACAGUAUCAGCUAGUCAAUGCUGAAUCCGACUUCUCCCUUUCUACAUUGCCUGAUAGAAGUCAUUGGGGGAUACUCUGGAGUCAAGGGAUUGGAUUGUGGAUUGCAUGGGUGGCUUUCCUCAGUUUCCUCAUCUUCUCCACAAGUUUCUACAUAUUGAAUGCAGAGCAGCCCUUCUUCAAAGGACUGAGCAGCCCUUCUUCAAAGGAACUGAGUCUGUAGCUCUGUGUGGAGCCAUGUGUAAACACUGAAACGAGACCUGCCACCUCCUACUACCUAAUGACCCUUUUCAUCUGAGAAGAUCAUUCCCUAGAAACGAACUCAUGCUGACUUCCAUGUUUUUUUAGAUUAGAUAUAUGGAGAAUUUUCCUUUCCCUUAGAAUUAAAAUCCUGCUUUCUAGUUUU